Molecule: long non-coding RNA, 489 nt
Filed under: Elaeis guineensis (African oil palm)
Lineage: Eukaryota; Viridiplantae; Streptophyta; Magnoliopsida; Arecales; Arecaceae
Description: long non-coding RNA (EGUI_LNC071883)
Source: RNAcentral
GAGAUGUGGGCAUGAGUCCAAGUGUGGCGCAAGGAGAUAAGGAUAGAGUCCAAGUUGAUAAGGACUCUUCAUUUCUAAUAUGAUUCCAAUCCAAAUCAAAUUUGAAUUGAACCCACUGAUAGAAAUAAAACUAAUCUAAUUAGAAACUCAGAUAUCUCAUCAAAUUUCUAACUCAAUUAGGAAUUUGCCGAGUCUAAAUCUUGAUCGAAUCAUGAUCAAAUUUUUCUUAUAAUCAGGAUUGAUCAUAUCAAACCUAAUCUCAGUCGAACUGAAUCUAAUUCAAUUAGACUUGAUCCAAAACUCUUUACUCAAUCAAAUUGAGUUAAUUAAUAAUCUAAUUACUAAUUAAUUCUCUAUUAAUAGUAGAGUCUCACUCUCAGUGGGACUCUCCUCCAGAGUUUCAGUCUCAGUGAGACUCCUCACCAGAGUCACAACCUAAUUGGACCCUUCAGUAUCAGAUCUGAUCAAAUCUUUUAAUACGUGACCCCA